Molecule: ribosomal RNA, 1185 nt
Filed under: Fructobacillus fructosus
Lineage: Bacteria; Bacillati; Bacillota; Bacilli; Lactobacillales; Lactobacillaceae
Description: bacterial SSU rRNA
Rfam family: Bacterial small subunit ribosomal RNA
Source: RNAcentral
CUGGGAUAACCAUUGGAAACAGCUGACUAAUACCGGAUAAAACCCAAGUGCACAUGCACUAAGGUUAAAAGCUGCGUUUGCAGCGCUUUAAGAUGGAUUCGCGGUGCAUUAGUUAGUUGGUGAGGUAAAGGCUCACCAAGACGAUGAUGCAUAGCCGAGUUGAGAGACUGACCGGCCACAUUGGGACUGAGACACGGCCCAAACUCCUACGGGAGGCUGCAGUAGGGAAUCUUCCACAAUGGGCGCAAGCCUGAUGGAGCAACGCCGCGUGUGUGAUGAAGGCUUUCGGGUCGUAAAGCACUGUUGUAUGGGAAGAACGGGUUUAAGAGGAAAUGCUUAGACAGUGACGGUACCAUACCAGAAAGGGACGGCUAAAUACGUGCCAGCAGCCGCGGUAAUACGUAUGUCCCGAGCGUUAUCCGGAUUUAUUGGGCGUAAAGCGAGCGCAGACGGUUGCUUAAGUCUGAAGUGAAAGCCCACAGCUCAACUGUGGAAUGGCUUUGGAAACUGGGCAACUUGAGUACAGUAGAGGUAAGUGGAACUCCAUGUGUAGCGGUGGAAUGCGUAGAUAUAUGGAAGAACACCAGUGGCGAAGGCGGCUUACUGGACUGCAACUGACGUUGAGGCUCGAAAGUGUGGGUAGCAAACAGGAUUAGAUACCCUGGUAGUCCACACCGUAAACGAUGGAUACUAGUUGUUAGAGGGUUUCCGCCCUUUAGUGACGAAGCAAACGCAUUAAGUAUCCCGCCUGGGGAGUACGACCGCAAGGUUGAAACUCAAAGGAAUUGACGGGGACCCGCACAAGCGGUGGAGCAUGUGGUUUAAUUCGAAGCAACGCGAAGAACCUUACCAGGUCUUGACAUCCUUUGAAGGUACUAGAGAUAGUACUGUCUUCUUCGGAAGCAAAGUGACAGGUGGUGCAUGGCCGUCGUCAGCUCGUGUCGUGAGAUGUUGGGUUAAGUCCCGCAACGAGCGCAACCCUUAUGUUUAGUUGCCAGCAUUCAGUUGGGCACUCUAGACAGACUGCCGGUGACAAACCGGAGGAAGGCGGGGACGACGUCAGGUCAUCAUGCCCCUUAUGACCUGGGCUACACACGUGCUACAAUGGCGUAUACAACGAGCAGCAAACCUGUGAAGGUAAGCGAAUCUCUUAAAGUACGUCUCAGUUCGGAUUGUAGUCUGCAA